GACGAACCGUGCGAACGUUGUUCGGAAUCACUGGGCUUAAAGGGCGCGUAGGCGGACCGCCAAGUCCGUGGUGAAAUCCUCCAGCUCAACUGGAGAACUGCCGCGGAUACUGGAGGUCUCGAGGGAGGUAGGGGCAAGCGGAACUGUGGGUGGAGCGGUGAAAUGCGUUGAUAUCCACAGGAACUCCGGUGGCGAAGGCGGCUUGCUGGACCUUUUCUGACGCUGAUGCGCGAAAGCCAGGGGAGCAAACGGG
RNAcentral lists this ribosomal RNA (253 nucleotides) under uncultured Zavarzinella sp. RNAcentral describes it as "partial 16S ribosomal RNA". It matches the Rfam family "Bacterial small subunit ribosomal RNA", at positions 524 to 776 of the family's 1533-position model. The record is from RNAcentral. Lineage: Bacteria; Pseudomonadati; Planctomycetota; Planctomycetia; Gemmatales; Gemmataceae.